RNAcentral lists this ribosomal RNA (465 nucleotides) under uncultured bacterium. RNAcentral describes it as "partial 16S ribosomal RNA". It matches the Rfam family "Bacterial small subunit ribosomal RNA", at positions 28 to 507 of the family's 1533-position model. The record is from RNAcentral.
GACGAACGCUGGCGGCGUGCUUAACACAUGCAAGUCGAACGGAAAGGCCCUGCUUGCCGGGUACUCGAGUGGCGAACGGGUGAGUAACACGUGGGUGAUCUGCCCUGCACUUCGGGAUAAGCCUGGGAAACUGGGUCUAAUACCGGAUAGGAGCCAUUUUUAGUGUGAUGGUUGGAAAGUUUUUUCGGUGUAGGAUGAGCUCGCGGCCUAUCAGCUUGUUGGUGGGGUAAUGGCCUACCAAGGCGGCGACGGGUAGCCGGCCUGAGAGGGUGGACGGCCACAGUGGGACUGAGAUACGGCCCAGACUCCUACGGGAGGCAGCAGUGGGGAAUAUUGCACAAUGGGCGCAAGCCUGAUGCAGCGACGCCGCGUGGGGGAGGACGGCCUUCGGGUUGGAAACUCCUUUCGCUAGGGACGAAGCUUUUUGUGACGGUACCUAGAUAAGAAGCACCGGCUAACUACGUG